This is a long non-coding RNA of Dromaius novaehollandiae (emu), 6826 nucleotides long. RefSeq lists it as uncharacterized. The record is from RefSeq and is a predicted model, not a curated record. NCBI's taxonomy places the organism in Eukaryota, Metazoa, Chordata, Aves, Casuariiformes, Dromaiidae. The transcript has 7 exons.
CCGCGCCGGCCUGGCCCUGGGGGUGGGGGGAAGGCGGCGCGGCCCCUCCGCACCGGCAUGAGGGGCAACCUGCCCUCAGGGCCUCGGCCGGGGGCAAGAGGGGAAAAGCCCCAUUUCCCUCCUCCUCCUCCACCCCCAGGCUGGGCACAGCGGGAGCCCCCAGUUCCCUCAGGGCUUCUUAGGCCUCCAUUUUCCUGCUCUGAGGGGAAAACUUGCUGCCCCCCCCCCACCCCACUCCUAGGCUGUGUCCCCAGCAGGUACCUGCCCCACUGUGCCCAGCAAAGCACUAGCACCCCAAAAAUUAGUGCGGAUUUUCUUCCCAGGCAGGAAAAGAGCCUGGGGGAUGUAAGGGAAGGAGCAGGGAUCUGUAAAACUCACCCUCAAAGACCAGCUUUCACCUCGGGGCUUUCCACAGCAAAUAUCCUCUGGGGGCUUUCCAGCUGGGCUUGGGUGGAAAUUUGAAGGUGGGCUCAGCUGGGUGUGGGUGGAAGCUUGGAUGUGGGUGCAGCUGGUUUUGGGUGGAAAUUUGAAGGCGGGUGCAGCUGGGUUUGGGUAGAAAUUUGGAUGUGGGUGCAGCUGGGUUUUGCUUUGGGUCCUGGGGACUGCCCUCAAGUUAAAGCAUUUGUUUUGGUGUGAUCAGAGCCUGCCCUUAUGGCAGCUUCUUGCUCCACUUGCUGUGGAAGGUAAGUGCUGUGCUGGGUUGGUAAAUGUUUAUUUGUUCCUCUUGGUUUGUCGUAACUGAUACCUGGAAGGAGAAACUAGAAGCUUCAAACAAAGUAAGUGGUUUGGGUUUAAAACAGUAUGAGUGCUUGAUGUCCAUGUCUGGGUCUUGGUGGUGGCUUGUGCAUGUGGCUGCACCUCUGGGGUGGGAGGGUGAAGCCAUGGCACUGCUUUCCUUUGCCUAAUUAAUCUUCUCUAACAGCUGCCUGUAAACAUAGCUGCAAGGAAGCAAGUGUCUCCACUGAAAAGAGAGGAGAAAAGAGCAUCUCAAAAAUGACUGGGCUUAGGAAAUCUUGCGUGCUUCUGGGAAAGGGCAGGGCCGGGAUAUCUCCCUUCAAAACUGAGCUGAACAAAGGAUUCGUUGUUUAGAAGUCCAGUUUGAUAAAGUGCCUUUUCGUUGCCCAGUUUCUGUGGCUUUGGUUUACAUGCUGCUUGCUGCAGAGCUCCUUGGGGUCUGUUUGCUCAUGGCAUGGGCUGGUCUGUCUGCCUGUUGCACAACUGUGUCCAUGUUGUCCAGGACUCCUUGGUUUUGUACAGUGGCAGAAACCAGUGCUGCUAUAAAUGGGCUCUCAAGCUGUGCCACAGCCUUGCUGCGUAGCCGUAUGGAUUUAGUGAGCAUACUCCUGUUAUGAACCCCAUAAGUAUGAUAACUUUUCAUUGCUCAGAUAGAAACAUAUCUAACAGAUAAACAUGUCUCUCCUUUAGGUGCAGCUUGUACCGGCUGAGUUUUCACCCGUAUUGCUUAUUCCAUGCAGUUGCUGGCCUCCACAUAAAGCCAGCUCCGAAGGCUCAGUUUUGUCUGUGUAGCUGCUGAUGAAUCAUACCUCAUUCCUGCAUGAUAUCACCGCGCUUGCAGCGUCCGCAGGGCACAGCUUGAGUUUUGGGGAUGCUCCUUUGCUUUUGUGUGGCAUUUACAACUCCACCGCACCAGCAUCGUCUUCCUGCAGAUCAGCGUGACAGCGUGGAGUCCCCGGCGUGGGUGCUGGCCCUCAGCUGCCUGCUGCCUUUGGGCAGUGAAGGUUGCCAGCUCCUCGAGGCUCUGCAGGGUUACUACAAGGAGAGCUGCACGGGAGAAGCAGUAGGGCGCAUGGUUACUUCUGCUUUUGAUGCUCCUCAAUGCUGGGCGACAGAACCAGAUUUGCAGUAAGGACUGACUGCUGGACAGCAGGGUAACUCCCCACCUCCGAAACCGUACAGACUAAACACGAGAUAAGAGCCAGCAGAUGGAUUUUCCGACGGGGAAGAGACGACACGAUAUCGCUCAGCUUUGCCGGAGCACAGCAGCAGCCUGUUCUCCACAAAGGGUGACCUUGAUGGUUUUCCAGUGGAGAUGGAGAUCCUGAAUAGCAAACUGAAACCUAGUGAGGCAUCAGCUUGCUUUCCCUACUUACUUUUCACAGACCCCACAGAAGUCACCUAUAGAGGCACGAGCAUCUUCAGACCACAGGUAAGAUGGGCAUAACGAAGGCUGAGACAGAGAACGCGAUGACUGCAGUUGGAGGAAAAGGGGCUGAGGUCUGCCUGCAGCGUUCGGGGAGCUGACACCAAUCCUGAAAGCUCCCUCAAGAGGGUCGGUGGGAGAACAGCCGGCGCCUAACCCAGCUGCAGCACGAUGUAACGCUCAUACGGCUUCAGGAAGCUCCUCUUCAUAGUUCAGUGCUCUCUAGUUUGAUGUUUUGAAGGUAUUGGGAGGAUCACUGAGGAUCAGGAGGGAUCUGAGGGACCUUUUCCGUGUGAGGUCUAUGUUCCCGAGCUUUUGUACUGUGCUGGGUCUGCUUCCCUCCGGUGUCCGGAAGGCACAUUGGGAACACCUGCUUCUCCGAGCAGUGCACGCGUACUGGGCACUUUAAUUAAUCCCUAAAGGAUUCAAUUCCUGUGUUGUUAAAGAUGUGCCAGCAUUUUCUUUGCAAAUCUUUUUGGUUCCCAACAAAGUUAGUGCAAACAUGUCUCUUAACUUGCUGUAGCUGGAUUGGGGCCCUGAACUGAGUUCACUUUGGGAUAAGGCUGAGGAAACCUGUUGUUUUCUGAAUGUGGAAGAAACCAUAUAUUCCACCUGCUGUGAUUGCCAAGGUGGAGAAAUAUAAGGAAUCUUUUUAGCUUUAGGCUUUUUGCUUUUGUGCUCUAGGACCAGCUGCUGGGCAGGAGCUUUGCUGAAAUUGGUGCCCGUUGGCGGGUUUGCACCAUCUCAGGAGCUGGGUCCCUGCGGGAGUCUCGGGCUGAGGGUGGUCUGCGAGGGUGUGGGGAAAGAGCAGGCUGCCAAAAGGUAAAGUGAUCGUGUUCAGCCCACCAGAAGAGAAGUUUAAAUCUGAGUAAUUCUAAUAUUAAAUAGCAAUGUAACCAGAAAAAGUGUGAUUCUGGUAAGAAAAUACGUUCCCACAACUCUUAGUGUAUCUAGUAGGGUUUUUCAGUUGAACUCAGCUGAUCAGAUACCUCAGUUAAUUUGAAUGGGACUACUAAAUACACUAUUGUAAGUAAAUGCAGGGUAAUACUCUAUGCAGUGGUAAUACUCUACAGAAUCUAUGUUUCCAAUUAAUUCAAACAAAUGUUUCAUUAGACUGAAUGGAUCUCCCACUUGUAUGUAUCAGCUCUUAUUUAUCACGGUGCUCAAUGGAGCAGAAUAUCAAGCUGCUGAAAUCUAACGUACAUUUGCAAUUAGUGUCAUGGAUUAUUUCUUUUGAAUGUGAGCUUUUUCUGGAUAUUCUUACUGCAAUCAGUUUAUAAAUGAGCUAAUUUAUAAAUUAGCUUUCUGCUAUCCCAGAGGUCGACCCUUUGGCUUGGGGAUGUCUAAGGAAUGUCUGCUGCUCAUGUGCAUCAGCCGAUUCCAAAUGUAAAGAAAAUCGAAGCACCCCCCCAGCCUGCCCAUUUGCAAACAGUCCAAGUGAUCCGUGCUCCCUGAGCUAUUAAAACGAGAGGGGAGGAAAGCCUUGAGCCGGCUGUUUAAUAUCUGUAGACUGACCUGGCAGUGCAGCUCAGCGCGCUGCACACAGGGACCUGAGCCCGUGCGGCUCUUCCCGGCUCUGCUGCCACGUGCCCUGGUCCUGGCCCCCUCCCCGAGGGUCUCCUUCUCCGCCUGGAACCAGGGCCAUGUUGCCAGCUUCCUCCGGAAAACCCUCGGAGAUCCGCAGGUAGCGAGCAGCGUCUUGGACUGUGGUGCUAUUGUUACUCCCUCAGCGCAUAAAAACCUCUCUGAAACGGCUUCUUUCUUUUUUUGGAUUCCUUCCCCAGUGUAAUUUGGGGUUAUUAGCUCAUUUAGAAACACCACAAAGACACUGUUUCAGAUAAAUUUUUAAAGAAAUUGCACUGCGUUUUAUUGUUUAAGAGGCUCUGAGGGUCUUAAGGCUCUUUCUUUAUCUACUCUUCGAGCCCAACCUGCAAUUUUCUCCCCUUUGUCUAUGUGACUGCAGCCAAAAAGGCCAUUACAAAUCUUGGACCGCAGCUUUUUGUGAGUCAGUGUCUGGUUUUACAGCAAAGCGCGAGCUGGAGUUACCGCCGGGUUGUUUAUGCGGAGCGGUGCUCGUUGCCGCGUUGCUGCUCUGAAUUUACGGCGCUCCGUUGCUGCCGGGCUCUGCUCUCCCGCCCGCCGUCGGGGAUCGGCUCCCGGCUGGAGGGUGCUGCAGAGAAAAACCACGCUGCUUCGUACCUGCUGGCUGCUGGCCCGUGCAUCGAUUGACUUGCUGCUAAUUAUUUAUUUGUGGGAAAUCAGCAGUGGUUCUUAGAGGGGGGUUUUGCCAGGAAAAGCAGCGCGGCAGUGGGGAAUCUCCAAUGUGCCCGUUCUGCGUGGUGGCCCGGCCCGGCCCAGCACCCCCUGCCAACUGGGACCAUCGGCAUGGAAAACGAGCAGGUUUCCAACCCUUGGUACCAGCAAGGGCCAAAUUGCUAAGGGGAUGGUGGCCGCAGGCAGUCGCCCUGCGGGGCCUUGCUGCGAAUGCUUUGGGAGCAAUGAAGACAGGCCGGCCUGGAAUGAGAUGCCAUCCUGUAUCAGAAUGACCCUAACAUCUCGGGUGUAUUUAUCACCAACUUCGCCUGCUUUUGGGUUGCUGGUCUCGGCCGCUCCCUGCUAUAUGGCACGGUGUCAGGAUGCUGUGGGAAACGGGGAAUUGUAUUGCAUGGGUCUUAAGAAAUGGGGUGAAAGAGAAAGAAAAUUAUCAUAGGGUAUUUUUUGCAAUAUUGUCUUAAUUUUGCAAGCAGGCAACUUCAUGGAUUUUGUGUAAUUUUAAAAUAUUUCCUGGCUACAAAGAGGGGAUUUUUUUGGGGGGAGGGGAGGGUGUUCUUAAAACUCUCUGCUAUUUUUCCCUUUGACCUUUGAACUGCCAGGAGGACAGAUGUGCGUGCAUGGGUUCAGAGUGGUGAGGCCUGGAGCAAAAGUGACUCAUCCAGGGUGAAAGUCCCCGGGAAAAAAUGCCCUCUGAUGGAAAGAGGUGUCAGAGCAGCAGCUUGGCUUUGGCCGCUUGCUGCCUUCCCGUUGGACUGGGUUAGGAUUUAAUCCCGUGCAGCCGCAGCUGGGCUUGGAUAGACUUUAUGGAGGAACUCGUGGGAAGUGCAGGCGCUCUGGGGCUAGUCUGUCUGCUCUUGGGCCAUGGGUGUCCAACCUCUUGGCUGAAUUUAGGUCCCCCAGGAAACAGCCUGCGGCCCUGGGCGUCCCGAGGAGAAGGCAAGGCAACGGGUCCUCCCGUGGCCGCUGCCCCAGGCCGGCGUGGUGGGGAGCAGAGGGCCUGCAUUGCAUCUGCAGGUGACCUGCGUCGCAUCUGCAGGUGACCCGAAGCGAAAAGAGGCUGCAAGCUCAGCAGAGGCAGGAUUCGACCCUGUUGGACAGGGGAAACGAUCUGAAAUAAGUAAGAUCCAACUCAGCAGGGACACGCAUGAAGUAGGGCAACUGCACAGCGGCAAAGGAGGGAGCAACCCAUGGCUUCUGUCGAAGAUGGGUUGGGGUGCUCCACGCGAGCCCCAAGGGGACGUGCAGCAUCGCGGGGGGGCAGGAACGGGGCUGCUUCACAUGGGAUGGAUGGAGUGACCCCUCCGCCCGGCCCGCUGCAGGGACGGCCCGGCUGGAGCACCGCCUGCGUCGGGGCAGCCGGUCUGUUCUGGGGCCGAGGCACAAGGUCCACCGUCUUCAGCAGCAGUCUCGGGGCAGCUCCGUGUUCUGGCGUGCUGUGCACAGUCUCACGGUUUCUGCGGCUUAUAACUGAAGUUAGAAAUCUGACUUCUCCUCCUUACGCUUCUGGUUUUAAAGAAAAUCUGUCCUUAUUUACGGAGCAAAAGUGACAUUUACAGAUCUCCAUGCGUUUUCCUGUAGUCACUCUGGAACAGACUCAUCUCUGUGUCACCGUCCUGUGCUGGGGGUGUCACGUAAUAACCCUUCUGCAGAGACCCCCAUGGAGGAAGGAGCGGCUUGAACUGCACAGUCUGCCCUGAUACCAGAGAGGCAUUUGGAGAAUUUCUGAUGCUGUUAAUGAACUGGCUCAAAACAGAGGUGUAGCAGCAGAGCUGAGCCUCCGUCCCCUGGGUCUGCUUUACACCCACUUAACUCCACUGAUGUCAGCACUUUUCCUGCCCCUGAGCCACGCGGAUGUCCGGCAGCUCGUGGCUGCCCUGGCCACGGGAAGCCCCCAGGCUCUGCUUCUCUGCCGAGCUCGGUGGCAGGACCGUUACCAUCAUCGCGUUGGAUUUUUCUAAAGCUGAGCCUCCAGGUUUUUUCUCUGCUCGCUCCAACGCUUUCACGAAUACUUCCCUGCCCACAUGCUUGGAUCCCCUCGGAGGUCACACGGCCCUCUCUUCCCGCGCAGAGGGGAAAUUGCAUGAUCGUAUGGAAAAUAGCAAUAAUGCUGUUGAGUUUUGUUACCACGGGAACAGCAGCUCGCACCAGAAGCACGGCCCAUCGGAGGGAGGAAGGCUGCGUGGCGGGGAGGAUGCACGCUGCGCUUUGACCUGAAACAGUGCCGUAGCCAAGGAACUGAAUACGAAAGGCCAAGAGCUGCUCCGAGUCGAGGGUUAGUCUCUCAUUUCCUUCUGACCUUUAACUGUAAAUUGUCCUCCUUGUGAUCUCAUAGUAUAACCUGGUACUGCAUGUGGUUUUUCAUACGUUGCAUUAAUAAAUGGGACAAAGCAC